GCACAAGCGGUGGAGUAUGUGGUUAAUUCGAUGCAACGCGAAAACCUUACCUACCCUUGACAUGUCCGGAAUCCCGAAGAGAUUUGGGAGUGCUCGCAAGAGAACCGGAACACAGGUGCUGCAUGGCUGUCGUCAGCUCGUGUCGUGAGAUGUUGGGUUAAGUCCCGCAACGAGCGCAACCCUUGUCAUUAGUUGCCAUCAUUUGGUUGGGCACUCUAAUGAGACUGCCGGUGACAAACCGGAGGAAGGUGGGGAUGACGUCAAGUCCUCAUGGCCCUUAUAGGUGGGGCUACACACGUCAUACAAUGGCUGGUACAAAGGGUUGCCAACCCGCGAGGGGGAGCCAAUCCCAUAAAGCCAGUCGUAGUCCGGAUCGCAGUCUGCAACUCGACUGCGUGAAGUCGGAAUCGCUAGUAAUCGUGGAUCAGCAUGUCACGGUGAAUACGUUCCCGGGUCUU
RNAcentral lists this ribosomal RNA (458 nucleotides) under uncultured Rhodocyclaceae bacterium. Its description in RNAcentral is "bacterial SSU rRNA". It matches the Rfam family "Bacterial small subunit ribosomal RNA", at positions 923 to 1382 of the family's 1533-position model. The record is from RNAcentral. Lineage: Bacteria; Pseudomonadati; Pseudomonadota; Betaproteobacteria; Rhodocyclales; Rhodocyclaceae.